UAUUCUUCACGCCUUUCUGUGAAUAAUAUUUUGCAUCACUUUGAACGUUUGUUUCAAAUCCAACAUGGUUGUUUCGCAUAAAUCCAAACGAUUCAAUCCCACCACUAUGGCUCUAUUGGAGGAAGCAAUCUCUGCCGGGUCUAUGAAUAGAUCAUUGCUAGAUAUUCCUUUUUCUAAUCGUAGGAAUAUAAAGUAAAUAAAAAUGGAGAUUAGAUAGUUUGAACGUAACAUACUAACCAGACCAUUUGACCAGUUUGAACGCAACAAUCAGUUCAAACAGCUUCAUACCUGAACCGAAUGAUCUUACGUUAUAAUAUUUCUCGGAAUAAUCCUCUUUAAGUUCUUUGGAGUGCACUGACUCUUAAGGUAGAAACACGUUACUCUCGCGUCGCGUGAAAUCACGUAACAACGGGUUAUUUCACGUGACGUUCGAGAAGUGUGAGCCGGUGUGUUUCCAUCGUUAUAAAUCCGUUGGAAACAAGUCAGCGUCACGCCACGCUGUUUGCGGCAUUUCGCGUAUCGUCGCGUGUAAAAGCAGACAUCAAUUCCGCGACGUCUGGCAGUUUUAAUGUCGCGUGAGCAGCGCGGACAAUGGAGGAAUUAUUAAUAGAAGGUGCGAGGAAACGUACAGUGUUAUUUAACGAAAAAAUCCUGCGCCUCUGUGAAUCAGAAGAUGGGAAGAAGUUGACCGUCAGUUAAAAAUAUCUUCCGAAUACACAGAAAAGAAGCGGAACAAAUGCCGGAGCAGAAAAAGCGACGAAGCUGCUAAGAAAAUUAUACCGCGGGAGCAUUGGCUGCUCAGACAAAUGACGUCUCUUUUGUCAUUUCUGAGUGCCAGAGUAGCGCAUAGUAGCAUAGGAGGAUCUCGCAAAUGUCGGAAAAUGAUAUGAUUCAGUAGGAAAAUAGUGAAAACAAUGAGGUUGAUGGAGACGAAGAUCGGGACAGUAUAGAAAAUGCAGACGGGAGCCAAAUCAGUUCAGUCCAGAUCAGAAAACAAAUUCUACGGAUAACACAGAAGGGAUAGGAGUAUUAGAAAUUACAAAAAGCAAUAAAUGCCAUAAACCUAUGUUGAAAAUUAUGGCGGAAGAAAUAAUAAAUAGUAUUAGUAGUAAUAGAAGAUGUGAAAUAAAGAGAAACUCACAUGUUCUUUUGAAGUAUGUGAAGAAUGACAGGACAGUUGCCACGAUACGAGUAAAGUGAAAUCAAAUUCACAUUGAAUAGCGCAAUACGACAAGCAGAGAUCCGAAAUCAACAGAAACGAGAUUUCUGUCCUGACCAAGCAUCCCAUUCUCGGCUAGAAUCUUCAUAUACGUUAUGGCUGGCUGUAAUAUCAAUAAUUAUUUUAAUGAAAAUAAUUAACGAAAGAAUACCUUGAAUUUUAUUAGAAAUAUACCUUGAACAUACUGCUAAUCUUCCACGAGUGCUUAUAGUUCUACGAAACUUUGUAUUCUCUUUUCUUUAUAUCAUUUUCAAUUAGACCAUGCAAAAAUUCAAAUUCGUCUUUGGUCAUUCUGAAACACAUAUUGUAUCAACUAGAAUGUUCUCCUAAUUCUGUAACUAAAUGGCUAUAUUCUCCCAGACGUUCUCUCUUUGCAUUUGUUUCCUAUAGCCAAAUUGAUCUACGCGUUCUAUUCUGAAUCAGAAAUGCUGUAGGAUUUUGUAUAUCUUUCUCUUAAUCGGAAGAGCUAUCUGCUUGAGGUUUCACAUUCCAUUAUUCACAAGAGACGAUGUGUUAUUAAAUAGUUUCCAACGUGUAAGGUGAUACAAAAAUAAUAAAUGAAUCCUACCUAUGAUGUUACGUGCUAUAGUAUGCAAUGCGGUAACACAUGAUUCCGCGUGUAUGUAAUGUGUCUCUACCUUUGCUGUAGCAAAGUGCAGCUUGUUUAUUACCUGUGCUGCACUUGACCAAAUCCUCUUUUGAUUUAUAACACGGAAAAUUCUAUGUUACACUUGUUAAUAAUCUUAAUGAAUCCUCACAUACAAAUAACAAUGAUCUUCUGUAUUAGACUCGGUUAAUUCCUCGAGCCAUACGUGCAUUAUUAUUUAAAUGAGCAACAAACAAACGUUUGAAAUCCUUUGCCAUACUCACUGUUAUAUAUUUACACUGAAUCUCCCCUACUAAUUCUUCCAAUUAAUUCUACAAAUGCCAUUUCCCUUGUUUCAAUAAAUUCCUGACAUUCUAGACUUUCCUAAAACAGCAAACUUCUAAGCUAACUUCUUUUUGUUAACUUUUACGCAACGUAGAAUCCUACAAAUUCUUACGACCAAGAAUAUUAUGACCAAUCUACGCGAUUACUCCUACCAUCUGUAACAUUUCAUCUCAAGAACAGAACUUUCGCACUAUACUCCUAUUCCUGCAGGAUCAUUUCACAUACAACUUGUCGUUCGAUUACAU
Molecule: long non-coding RNA, 2395 nt
Organism: Bombus pyrosoma
Lineage: Eukaryota; Metazoa; Arthropoda; Insecta; Hymenoptera; Apidae
Exons: 3
Source: RefSeq, a predicted model, not a curated record